Molecule: ribosomal RNA, 114 nt
Filed under: Acanthosepion pharaonis
Lineage: Eukaryota; Metazoa; Mollusca; Cephalopoda; Sepiida; Sepiidae
Source: RNAcentral
UUGCAGCCAUAUCAUGUUGAAAUGCCGGUUCCAAUAUGAUCAUCAAAGUUAAGCAACAUCAAGCUUAGUCAGUACCUAGAUGGGUGACCACUUGUAAAUACCAGGUGCUGUAAG